CACCUCCCACCCGUGUUUAUUUUACCUUGUUGCUUCGGCGGGCCCGCCUUAACUGGCCGCCGGGGGGCUUACGCCCCCGGGCCCGCGCCCGCCGAAGACACCCUCGAACUCUGUCUGAAGAUUGUAGUCUGAGUGAAAAUAUAAAUUAUUUAAAACUUUCAACAACGGAUCUCUUGGUUCCGGCAUCGAUGAAGAACGCAGCGAAAUGCGAUACGUAAUGUGAAUUGCAAAUUCAGUGAAUCAUCGAGUCUUUGAACGCACAUUGCGCCCCCUGGUAUUCCGGGGGGCAUGCCUGUCCGAGCGUCAUUGCUGCCCUCAAGCACGGCUUGUGUGUUGGGCCCCGUCCUCCGAUCCCGGGGGACGGGCCCGAAAGGCAGCGGCGGCACCGCGUCCGGUCCUCGAGCGUAUGGGGCUUUGUCACCCGCUCUGUAGGCCCGGCCGGCGCUUGCCGAUCAACCCAAAUUUUUAUCCAGGUUGACCUCGGAUCAGGUAGGGAUACCCGCUGAACUUAAGCAUAUCAA
RNAcentral lists this ribosomal RNA (521 nucleotides) under Penicillium chrysogenum. RNAcentral describes it as "eukaryotic LSU rRNA". The stretch from base 154 to 306 matches the Rfam family "5.8S ribosomal RNA". The record is from RNAcentral. Lineage: Eukaryota; Fungi; Ascomycota; Eurotiomycetes; Eurotiales; Aspergillaceae.